This 774-nucleotide ribosomal RNA is filed under the name uncultured bacterium. Its description in RNAcentral is "bacterial SSU rRNA". It matches the Rfam family "Bacterial small subunit ribosomal RNA", at positions 8 to 796 of the family's 1533-position model. The record is from RNAcentral.
AGAGUUUGAUCCUGGCUCAGAAUCAACGCUGGCGGCGUGCCUCAGACAUGCAAGUCGAACGAUUAAAGCCCCUUCGGGGGUGUAUAAAGUGGCGCACGGGUGAGUAACACGUAGGUAAUCUACCUUUGAGUGGGGAAUAACAAUCGGAAACGAUUGCUAAUACCGCAUAAUGCAGCGGCAUCAUAAGAUGACAGUUGUUAAAGGAGCAAUUCGCUUAAAGAGGAGCCUGCGGCAGAUUAGCUAGUUGGUAAGGUAAUGGCUUACCAAGGCUACGAUCUGUAACCGACCUGAGAGGGUGGUCGGUCACACUGACACUGAAUAACGGGUCAGACUCCUACGGGAGGCAGCAGUCGGGAAUUUUGGGCAAUGGGCGAAAGCCUGACCCAGCAACGCCGCGUGAAGGACGAAGUCUUUCGGGAUGUAAACUUCGUAAGAAUAGGAAGAAUAAAUGACGGUACUAUUUGUAAGGUCCGGCUAACUACGUGCCAGCAGCCGCGGUAAUACGUAGGGACCAAGCGUUGUUCGGAUUUACUGGGCGUAAAGGGCGCGUAGGCGGCAAUUCAAGUCAGUUGUGAAAUCUCCGAGCUUAACUCGGAACGGUCAACUGAUACUGCUUUGCUAGAGUACAGAAGGGGCAAUCGGAAUUCUUGGUGUAGCGGUGAAAUGCGUAGAUAUCAAGAGGAACACCUGAGGUGAAGACGGGUUGCUGGGCUGAUACUGACGCUGAGGCGCGAAAGCUAGGGUAGCAAACGGGAUUAGAUACCCUAGUAGUCC